Molecule: long non-coding RNA, 960 nt
Organism: Mytilus californianus (California mussel)
Lineage: Eukaryota; Metazoa; Mollusca; Bivalvia; Mytilida; Mytilidae
Exons: 6
Source: RefSeq, a predicted model, not a curated record
CUACUAAAAAGUCCCUUAUAGGGGUAAAUUCAGUAAAUAAAUAUACGUCAUCAGGGACCGCCCAUUUGGGGGAGAGCUUUCUGUAUAAAACUGAAGUCAUGUGCUCUUCUGAUUGGUAGAUAAUGUUUGUAAUAAAUAUUUUUUGAUAGAUGGAUAAAAACUAGAGUUGAAAAAAAAUAAAAAAUAAAUGCUGAAUGUACUAAAUUUUUUUACUACAGGGUUGAAAAGUAAUGGGGGUCAGUGAAGGAAUUAAGUGCGAAUCUACAGUGUUUGUAAACAAGGCCAUGUGAAUGCCCAAAAAUGCCGCAUGACCCUAUGUUUUUAUUGUUGCAAAUGAUAGGGCUACAUUUGUACUUUCAUGAAUGAUAUAUGAAAUUUUCUAAUUUCUAAAGUUUUGUCUGUCUAGUUUUGGUGAAGAAACCAUCCUGAUGUUGGGGUAACAGGAAUUUCUGCAGAGUGAUUGUCAAUGACAUUUUGUGAACUUUACAAUUUUGUCUGUCUAGUUUUGGUGAAGAAACCAUCCUGAUGUUGGGGUAACAGGAAUUUCUGCAGAGUGAUUGUCAAUGACAUUUUGUGAACUUUACAAUUUUGUCUGUCUAGUUUUGGUGAAGAAACCAUCCUGAUGUUGGGGUAACAGGAAUUUCUGCAGAGUGAUUGUCAAUGACAUUUUGUGAACUUUACAAUUUUGUCUGUCUAGUUUUGGUGAAGAAACCAUCCUGAUGUUGGAGUAACAGGAAUUUCUGCAGAGUGAUUGUCAAUGACAUUUUGUGAACUUUACAAUUUUGUCUGUCUAGUUUUGGUGAAGAAACCAUCCUGAUGUUGGGGUAACAGGAAUUUCUGCAGAGUGAUUGUCAAUGACAUUUUGUGAACUUUACAAGUAAUUAAAACACAAAUUUAGUAAAAUGAAACAUAAUUGUUGGUUUUUUUUGUAUGAAACUGCUUAAAAAAGCCUUUGAAAAG